GAUGAACGCUAGCGGCAGGCUUAACACAUGCAAGUCGAGGGGUAUUUAUCUUCGGAUAGAGAGACCGGCGCACGGGUGCGUAACGCGUAUGCAAUCUACCUUUACUAGAGGGAUAGCCCAGAGAAAUUUGGAUUAAUACCUCAUAGUAUAAUGAGUUGGCAUCAACACAUUAUUAAAGUCACAACGGUAAAGAUGAGCAUGCGUCCCAUUAGCUAGUUGGUAAGGUAACGGCUUACCAAGGCUACGAUGGGUAGGGGUCCUGAGAGGGAGAUCCCCCACACUGGUACUGAGACACGGACCAGACUCCUACGGGAGGGCAGCAGUGAGGAAUAUUGGACAAUGGGCGCAAGCCUGAUCCAGCCAUGCCGCGUGCAGGAUGACGGUC
Molecule: ribosomal RNA, 385 nt
Filed under: uncultured bacterium
Lineage: Bacteria
Description: bacterial SSU rRNA
Rfam family: Bacterial small subunit ribosomal RNA
Source: RNAcentral